This 1933-nucleotide long non-coding RNA is filed under the name Sus scrofa (pig). Its description in RNAcentral is "lncRNA (ENSSSCG00040044286.1)". The record is from RNAcentral. Lineage: Eukaryota; Metazoa; Chordata; Mammalia; Artiodactyla; Suidae.
GUUCCUUCAGUCUGCUUUCCUGUUAAUUUGGCCCUCACCCUGAUUUCUAUGCCUGUAAUGAGUAAGUCUCCUUCCUUUGGUCUUCCAUUCAGGCAACCAAAGGAAGACAAAGCCCUAAGACCUGAGCAAGUAUGGCCAGAGUCUCAGAGAAGGCUCUGCUUGGGGCCAUGUGGAUGCCCAGUAUGCCAGGGCACUGCUGAGUCCCCAGUGAACUGGGAUCCAGUCUACUGAUCCACCCACUGUGGUCAGGACAGGUAUAAGCCCGACCGGAAGCCAGCAUCCAACUUGGACGGAAUCCUCAGGACCUGACAGACCAUUCAUAAGAGGGCACGGUUACCUGCCUAUAGUUGACAGCAAAGUGUGAUUGCAGAUAACAACAUUUAGCCAUCAAAGGUGACCUUUUCCGAAAGUACACACUUACUGUUACAAGAUGAUGAACUUCUGGGGAUCUAAUAUACAGCAUGGUGACUAUAGUCAGCAAUAGGUUAUUAAAUAGUUAAAAGUUGUGAAAAGAGCACAUCUUAAAUGUUCUCACCACAAAAACAAAACAAAACAAAACAAAAAACCAUAAUUAUGUGAGGCCAUGAAUGUGUUAAGUAACCUUACUAAAUUUAACUUAUACUAUUUUGUAAAAGUAUUUGCUCUCUUUGAUAUAUUCAGAACAUUUUAAAACUGAAAAUGGCUUCAACUAACAAAAAAAUCAAUGUAUACCUUGAAAAUGCAUAAAUUUGGAAUUCAAAUCUGAAAGUAUUGACCAGUUAUCCUCUCUCCAGGUUUGAAAUAAAAAUCAAGCCAGCUUCUUGGAUGAUCACAUUGCGAGGACUCAGCACGGCUGCAUGAAAAGCACUGUUGCAGUAAAGUAGGUCCUUUCUUAGAAAUGGAACAGACAAAGCCUUUCAUUUAUUAUUCAUGGUGGCUUGUGCCCAUGUCAACUCCUGAUUAAUAAUUAAAAUUAAUCUCAUUACAGAAGAUUUCAUUACAGGAUAAUUUAAUUAAAUGAUGAAUUGGCUCCCAGAUGUUACCUUCGGUGCCAUCUUUUAAAUAAUGCUGAUGAUGACACAGGGAUUCGCUAAGUAUCAGUCGGGCCUUAAGAAAAUGAAUUAUUUACAGGAUUCUGCCAUUCUGCCGACAAUAAAUGAUACUGAUCACACCCUUGCAUUAUCCUUCUCCAAAGUCACUGUUUUCUCAAGAUUUCCGGUAUUUUCAAAAGGUUUUUAACAUCCAUUGGAAAUUUAGAACCACCAUUCUGUCAAUCAUAAAAACAUGUUUAUUCGGUGAAAAUCUUAAUUCACAGAACCUACUCAUUUUAAAGGAGAAGUAUACAAAGGAAUUUGAUAAUUAAAAAUCUGAAAUUUCAACUUCAAAAAAAGCAAUGGGGAGGAAAUGUAUUAAUUUUUGCACUCUGGUGCAAAAAAAAACAUUCAAUUAUGCCAAAUAAUCAAACAGCAUUAGGGAUAAAACUUCAGAAUUUCGCUUGAUUUCACUACAUAAAGUAACCAGUAAAAAGAGUCUCACAAAGUCAACGUACUUUUUUAAACUUUUCCAUAAACUAACAUAAGCCACAAUUUUAAUACUUAUUUCACUGUUAUAAACAUACUGCUUUCACUACACUUUACAGAAGAUACAGAUGCUGAUAAAUCAACAUAAGAAGAAAUGAAGCCCAUCAAACCAGACAUUUAGGGAUGAAAACAUUUAAGAGACAUUUCUUUAUUUACUUGGGAGAAAGUGUGAACUUUUUUAAAUGCCAGGGUGUAUGACAAAAUUUAGGCCAUUUCAAAAAUUAUCGGCCAAACAUAAAGGUUUUAUAUUAUUCUGCUUGGUUUUAAGGAUUUUUUUGCACUUUUUUUUUUAACUAGACUUUAUUCUUCAGAGAAUUUUUAGGCUUACAUAAAAACUGGGCAGAAAAUAGAGUUACUAUUUCUCAUCUCCCCCC